AUGGUGUCACAAACCCAGGUUUUCCUGUGCCUGCUGCUCUGGGUGUCUGGUGCCUGUGCAGAUAUUGUGAUGACCCAGUCUCCAUCCUUCUUGGCUGUGUCAGCAGGAGAGAAGGUCACCAUCAGCUGCAAGUCCAGUCAGAGUCUUUUAUACAGUGGCAAUAACUACUUGAUUUGGUACCAGCAGAAACCAGGGAAGGCUCCUAAACAAUUGAUCUUCUAUGCAUCCACUCAGGAAACUGGGGUCCCUGAUCACUUCACAGGAAGUGGAUCUGGGACAGAUUUCACUUUCACCAUCAGCAGUGUCCAGACUGAAGAUCUGGCAGAUUAUUACUGUCAGCAGCACCACAGAUUUCCUCCCACAGUGCUUCAGCCUCCAACAAAAUCCUCCCUGAGAUUCUCACCAUCUGGCUGCACCACACAGUCGUGGACCUGA
Molecule: non-coding RNA, 435 nt
Organism: Alexandromys fortis (reed vole)
Lineage: Eukaryota; Metazoa; Chordata; Mammalia; Rodentia; Cricetidae
Source: the annotation of a RefSeq genome assembly